UGAUCAAGCGGCGCCUGUCGGUGCAGG
This 27-nucleotide non-coding RNA is filed under the name Mus musculus (house mouse). The record is from RNAcentral. Lineage: Eukaryota; Metazoa; Chordata; Mammalia; Rodentia; Muridae.